UUUAGGAUGUUAAUUUUUGUACUGGAGUAGUAUUAGUUAUGUUCUUGAAACUUAAAGAAUUUGGCGGUAUCUUAUUCCGUUCAGAGGAACCUGUCUCGUUAUCGAUAGUCCGCGUUGGACCUUACUUGGAUUGCUAUGGUUUGUAUACCGCCGUUUGUUUGAUUAUGCUUUUAGGGUUUUUAAUUUUCUGGUUUCUUUAUUUUGAUUUAUUUCAGGUCAAGGUGCAGCUUGUUUCUAAGUGUUAUUGAUGGGUUACAUUGAUUUUUGUUUAUUUGGAUUGUUAGUUGAUAUUAUUAAUAUGAAAUUGGAUUUGAUUGUAAUGUUUUGUAGAUUGUUAUCGUGAUAUUUGGUUCUAAGAUAUGU
RNAcentral lists this ribosomal RNA (363 nucleotides) under Heterotermes vagus. RNAcentral describes it as "partial 12S ribosomal RNA". Lineage: Eukaryota; Metazoa; Arthropoda; Insecta; Blattodea; Rhinotermitidae. The record is from RNAcentral.